Molecule: ribosomal RNA, 441 nt
Filed under: uncultured bacterium
Lineage: Bacteria
Description: bacterial SSU rRNA
Rfam family: Bacterial small subunit ribosomal RNA
Source: RNAcentral
UACGGAAGGCAGCAGUGGGGAAUAUUGCACAAUGGGCGCAAGCCUGAUGCAGCCAUGCCGCGUGUAUGAAAAAGGCCUUCGGGUUGUAAAGUACUUUCAGUCGUGAGGAAGGUGUUAAGGUUAAUAACCUUAGCAAUUGACGUUAGCGACAGAAGAAGCACCGGCUAACUCCGUGCCAGCAGCCGCGGUAAUACGGAGGGUGCGAGCGUUAAUCGGAAUUACUGGGCGUAAAGGGCACGCAGGCGGUUAAUUAAGUUGGAUGUGAAAUCCCCGGGCUUAACCUGGGAAUGGCAUUCAAGACUGGUUAGCUAGAGUCUUGUAGAGGGGGUAGAAUUCCAUGUGUAGCGGUGAAAUGCGUAGAGAUGUGGAGGAAUACCGGUGGCGAAGGCGGCCCCUGGGACAAAGACUGACGCUCAUGUGCGAAAGCGUGGGGAGCGAAAC